GUCCACGCUGUAAACGAUGAAUACUAGGUGUGGGAGGACUGACCCCUUCCGUGCCGCAGUUAACACAAUAAGUAUUCCACCUGGGGAGUACGACCGCAAGGUUGAAACUCAAAGGAAUUGACGGGGGCCCGCACAAGCAGUGGAUUAUGUGGUUUAAUUCGACGCAACGCGAAGAACCUUACCAGGGUUUGACAUCCAACUAACGAAGUAGAGAUACAUUAGGUGCCCUUCGGGGAAAGUUGAGACAGGUGGUGCAUGGUUGUCGU
RNAcentral lists this ribosomal RNA (266 nucleotides) under uncultured bacterium. RNAcentral describes it as "partial 16S ribosomal RNA". It matches the Rfam family "Bacterial small subunit ribosomal RNA", at positions 793 to 1055 of the family's 1533-position model. The record is from RNAcentral.